GCCAGGUAUAGUGGCGCAUGUCUGUAAUCCCAGCAGCUCAGGAGGCUGAGGCAAGAGGAUCAUGAGUUCAAAGCCAGCCCUAGCAACUUAGCAAGGCCCCUAAACAACCUAGUGAGACCCUGACUCUA
This 128-nucleotide small RNA is filed under the name Marmota monax (woodchuck). The record is from RNAcentral. Lineage: Eukaryota; Metazoa; Chordata; Mammalia; Rodentia; Sciuridae.